CCCUUAGAUGUCCUGGGCCGCACGCGCGCUACACUGAACGGAUCAGCGCGUUUUCCCUUCCCGAGAGGGACGGGUAACCUGCUGAACCCCGUUCGUGGUAGGGAUCGGGGCUUGCAAUUAUUCCCCGUGAACCAGGAAUGCCCAGUAAGUGCAAGUCAUAAGCUUGCAUUGAUUACGUCCCUGCCCUUUGUACACACCGCCCGUCGCACCUACCGAUUGAAUGGUCCGGUGAAAUCUCGGGACGGCGGCUUGGUCGCUUGCGUCCGACUGCUGAAACUUGAUUAAACCAUAUCAUUUAGAGGAAGGUGAAGUCGUAACA
RNAcentral lists this ribosomal RNA (319 nucleotides) under uncultured eukaryote. RNAcentral's name for it is "partial 18S ribosomal RNA". It matches the Rfam family "Eukaryotic small subunit ribosomal RNA", at positions 1470 to 1796 of the family's 1831-position model. The record is from RNAcentral.